RNAcentral lists this ribosomal RNA (253 nucleotides) under uncultured bacterium. RNAcentral's name for it is "partial 16S ribosomal RNA". It matches the Rfam family "Bacterial small subunit ribosomal RNA", at positions 524 to 776 of the family's 1533-position model. The record is from RNAcentral.
UACGGGGGGAGCAAGCGUUGUUCGGAUUUACUGGGCGUAAAGGGCUCGUAGGUGGCCAACUAAGUCAGACGUGAAAUCCCUCGGCUUAACCGGGGAACUGCGUCUGAUACUGGAUGGCUGGAGUUUGGGAGAGGGAUGCGGAAUUCCAGGUGUAGCGGUGAAAUGCGUAGAUAUCUGGAGGAACACCGGUGGCGAAGGCGGCAUCCUGGACCAAUACUGACACUGAGGAGCGAAAGCCAGGGGAGCAAACGGG